RNAcentral lists this small RNA (559 nucleotides) under Pongo abelii (Sumatran orangutan). RNAcentral's name for it is "processed transcript". The record is from RNAcentral. Lineage: Eukaryota; Metazoa; Chordata; Mammalia; Primates; Hominidae.
CACAGCAACCACCUCUGCCUCCUUCUCAGCCAGCAUUUAGUCAGGUUCCUGCUUCCAGUACUUCAACUUUGCCCCCUUCUACUCACUCAAAGACAUCUGCUGUGUCCUCUCAGGCAAAUUUUCAGCCCCCUGUACAGGUUUCUGUGAAGACUCAAGUAUCUGUAACAGCUGCUAUUCCACACCUGAAAACUUCAACGUUGCCUCCUCUGCCCCUCCCACCCUUAUUACCUGGAGAUGAUGACAUGGAUAGAAUUUGUUGUCCUCGUUAUGGAGAAAGAAGACAAACAGAAAGCGACUGGGGGAAACGCUGUGUGGACAAGUUUGACAUUAUUGGGAUUAUUGGAGAAGGAACCUAUGGCCAAGUAUAUAAAGCCAAGGACAAAGACACAGGAGAACUAGUGGCUCUGAAGAAGGUGAGACUAGACAAUGAGAAAGAGGGCUUCCCAAUCACAGCCAUUCGUGAAAUCAAAAUCCUUCGUCAGUUAAUCCACCGAAGUGUUGUUAACAUGAAGGAAAUUGUCACAGAUAAACAAGAUGCACUGGAUUUCAAGAAGGACAA